This 543-nucleotide unclassified non-coding RNA is filed under the name Zea mays. Its description in RNAcentral is "misc RNA Zm00001eb140220". The record is from RNAcentral. Lineage: Eukaryota; Viridiplantae; Streptophyta; Magnoliopsida; Poales; Poaceae.
CGAACACAUGACAUACAGGAAAUUAAACUAAGUUUAAAUUGCUUAUUUUCCACGAGACGAAACACGAGCACGGAAAAUGGCAAGACAAGAGAGCGACACCACCAAACAUGCAUGCAUGGGUAUGCUAGUUCACAUGACACUGCACGAGGGCCCGCCGCCCUGCCUGGGUUGGUGGUGGUGGCGGCCAUGCUGCUGCUGCUGCGCGCGCUGGCAGUCGGCGUCGGCGUCGUCCUCGGUGCCGAUGGAACAGCCAGGCUCGCACUGGUCGCCACCAGCGUCGGCGUAGGCGGUAGCAUCGGCUUCAUCAUCAGCGUACGCGGCGGCGGCGGCGCGGUGCAGCAUCAGCACGUACGCCAGCUGCGUGACGGCCAGCACCGCGGUGACCGCCUCCAGCGUGCGCAUCUGCCACCCGCGCGCCGCGGCGGCGGCGGCCCGCAUCUCCUUGCACGCGAGGCCGAGCGCGAGCGCGGUGGCCGCCCACGCGACGGUGCCCAGCGCAGCGGCGGCCGCGAGGCCCUGCGGCCGCCACAAGGCGCGCGCGUG